AGAGUUUGAUCCUGGCUCAGAACGAACGCUGGCGGCGUGGCUAAGACAUGCAAGUCGUACGGACCGCGGUAGCAAUAUUGCGGUUAGUGGCGAAAGGGUGAGUAAUUCAUGGGUAACGUACCCUGAACUCGGGGAUAACAGCGGGAGCAAUCCCUUUAGCGAAAGUGCUGCUAAUACCCGAUGAAGUCGCCGGGUCGCAUGACCGGGCGACCAAAGGUGGGGACCGCAAGGCCUGCCGGUUUGGGAGCGGCCCAUGUCCUAUCAGCUAGUUGGUGAGGUAACGGCUUACCAAGGCUAUGACGGGUAGCCGGACUGAGAGGUCGAUCGGCCACAUCGGGACUGAGACACUGCCCGGACACCUACGGGUGGCUGCAGUAACGAAUAUUGGGCAAUGGGCGCAAGCCUGACCCAGCGACGCCGCGUGCAGGAGGAAGUCCUUCGGGAUGUAAACUGCUGUCAGGGGCUAGCAAGCAAAGGGUGUUAACAGCAUCCGGCGUUGAGCCGCCCCAGAGGAAGCCUCGACUAACUCUGUGCCAGCAGUCGCGGUAAGACAGAGGAGGCAAGCGUUGUUCGGAAUCACUGGGCUUAAAGCGCGUGUAGGCGGCGGCGCAAGUGUCGUGUGAAAUCCCACGGCUCAACCGUGGAACUGCACGGCAAACUACGUCGCUUGAGGUUGGUAGAGGUGCCUGGAACUCUCGGUGGAGCGGUGAAAUGCGUUGAUAUCGAGAGGAACGCCGGAAGCGAAAGCGAGGCACUGGGCCGAUUCUGACGCUGAGACGCGAAAGCGUGGGGAGCAAACAGGAUUAGAUACCCUGGUAGUCCACGCUGUAAACGAUGC
This 838-nucleotide ribosomal RNA is filed under the name uncultured bacterium. Its description in RNAcentral is "bacterial SSU rRNA". It matches the Rfam family "Bacterial small subunit ribosomal RNA", at positions 8 to 812 of the family's 1533-position model. The record is from RNAcentral.